This 254-nucleotide ribosomal RNA is filed under the name uncultured bacterium. Its description in RNAcentral is "partial 16S ribosomal RNA". It matches the Rfam family "Bacterial small subunit ribosomal RNA", at positions 524 to 776 of the family's 1533-position model. The record is from RNAcentral.
UACGUAGGGUGCGAGCGUUGUCCGGAAUUAUUGGGCGUAAAGAGCUCGUAGGCGGUCUGUCGCGUCGAUCGUGAAAACUUGGGGCUUAACCCUGAGCUUGCGGUCGAUACGGGCAUGACUGGAGUUCGGCAGGGGAGACUGGAAUUCCUGGUGUAGCGGUGAAAUGCGCAGAUAUCAGGAGGAACACCGGUGGCGAAGGCGGGUCUCUGGGCCGAAACUGACGCUGAGGAGCGAAAGCAUGGGUAGCAAACAGG